AUUGAACGCUGGCGGCGUGCCUAACACAUGCAAGUCGAGCGGUAACAGGUGUAGCAAUACAUGCUGACGAGCGGCGAACGGGUGAGUAAUGCUUCGGAAUCUGCCCAUGUAGUGGGGAAUAACCAGCCGAAAGGUUGGCUAAUACCGCAUACGACCUACGGGUGAAAGCAGGGGAUCGCAAGACCUUGCGCUAUUGGAUGAGCCGAAGUCGGAUUAGCNGUUGGUAGGGUAACGGCCUACCAAGGCGACGAUCCGUAGCUGGUCUGAGAGGACGACCAGCCACACUGGGACUGAGACACGGCCCAGACUCCUACGGGAGGCAGCAGUGGGGAAUAUUGGACAAUGGGGCAACCCUGAUCCAGCGACGCCGCGUGUGUGAAGAAGGCCUGCGGGUUGUAAAGCACUUUUAG
This 410-nucleotide ribosomal RNA is filed under the name uncultured bacterium. RNAcentral's name for it is "bacterial SSU rRNA". It matches the Rfam family "Bacterial small subunit ribosomal RNA", at positions 30 to 439 of the family's 1533-position model. The record is from RNAcentral.